CCUUAACCAUUUAUAUAUAAUAGAAUAGAAAUUUUUGCAUAAUUAGUUUAGUUUUGGUCUUGGGAAAUUUCUCAUAAAAAGCAAAUCUUUUGCAUGGUGCAUUGACGCGUCAAACAUUUCUGAUGAACCAACUGAAACAAAUACACUCUCCGAAGUGGCACCCAAAGUCUUUGCAAAAACCCUUUUCCAAAAUGUGGAAAACAAUAUAAUAGCCCUAUUUCUUUCUUAUACAUACAUGGAGCACAAUAUAUAGUCCAUAUUUUUAACUAAACACCGUGAGAAUUCCAUACCUCAGGUGAGGGAGGCUCUAAAGAAGCUGGUUCCUCUUAAGCUAGAAUCAAACAACACACUCAAUGCUUAGACAGCUUUUCAAAGAACAAAUUCGUUUACCACAAUAUGACAAUUCAGUCUACUACUCGCAAAACUUACAAUCAUACAAACACGUCUCACAGACUUCUUUCAGUAAUUCUCCGCAUUGUUUUCAUUAUUUCCAUGAAAUAACAACUUAUAUCGACAAUUGCAUGCUUCUUUCUUGACAUUUUCUCUAGCACCGAAGCAACACACAUUUUUUUGUGGAGACAAGUUGGCCACAGUUGUUGCAAUUCCACACAAGAUUUCGCUCUCUUCAGCUAAAAUCAUCACCAAUUUGCAAGCUAGGGUUCUAAUAAAUUGGGACAAGGGAACAAGUUCGAUGGUUUUUGUCCAAAGAUGCUGAGAGAAUUCUCUUGUUUUUGAAAGAAAAAAAACACGUGAUGGAGGCUCGUGCGAUAUGUGGCUUCCGUUAGAGUUCUCACGGUGGUUUGGUUCAAAGACUGGAACUGCACCACUUUAUAAAACAAUAUGGAAUAUUAGUGCCUCAUGUAUAAGAAAUAGGACCAUUUUAAACCCAAGUCCAAAGAUACCCAACUGUUUUGGGACUUUUCUCCAUAAAUUUGCACUCACUCUGCUAUUAGGAGAAGCAUAAGGGCUAGUAACCUUAAAAAGGAAGCCAAAGAAUCCCAAUUUGAUAGCCACACAAGAUGAAAACAUUGCAUAGAUACAGAGGUGCAAGAAGCUAACUCCAUGAUUUGACUGAUUACUUUCCUUCCAUCGGUUUAACGUGGCUCACCAUUUUUCCCUUUACUGCUUUUGCAUCACUAGUAGGUUUUGGAGCUCUUUUAUAGGAGGCAACAGCUAGAUGAUAUAACUUCAUCGUCAUGAAUAAUCAGAAUGAUUGUGCCGACUGUGAUGAUGAUGGUAGUGACGACUCUUCUUCCUGCGAUCCUUAUCUUCAGGCUCGGGUGAACUUGACCGUGAAUGUCUCUGUCUGUUAGUCCUUUUCCGAUGCCUGUCAUUAUCAUUGUCCUCUGAACUUGACUUGGAAUGCUUUCCCCUAAUUGACUCAGAAUGCUUUUUCUUCCCGUGUUCCUUAUCUUUAGGCACAGGUGAACUUGACCGUGAACGUCUGUGUCUGUUACUCCUUUUCCGAUGCCUGUCAUUAGUAUCGUCCUCUGAACUUGACUCGGAAUGCUUUCCCCUACUUGACUCAGAAUGCUUUUUCUUCCUGUGUUCCUUAUCUUCAGGCACAGGUGAACUUGACCGGGAACAUCUGUGUCUGUUAUUCCUUUUCCGAUGCCUGUCAUUAUUAUCGUCCUCUGAACUUGACUUAGAAUGCUUUCCCCUACUUGACUCAUUAUGAUUCUUCUUCCUGUGUUCCUUAUCUUCACGCUCAGGUGAACUUGAAUGUGAACGUCUGUGUCUGUUACUCCUUUUGCGAUGCCUGUCAUUAUCAUCGUCCUCUGAACUUGACUCAGAAUGCUUUCUCUUAGUUGACAGUGAAUGUCUCUGUCGGUUA
This 1834-nucleotide long non-coding RNA is filed under the name Nicotiana tabacum (common tobacco). Its description in RNAcentral is "long non-coding RNA (NTAB_LNC005398)". Lineage: Eukaryota; Viridiplantae; Streptophyta; Magnoliopsida; Solanales; Solanaceae. The record is from RNAcentral.